CGUUGAAACACCGGUUCUCGGACGAUCACCAAAGUUAAACAAAGUCGAUCCUGGUCAGGACCAAGAUGGGUGACCGCUUAGGAAUACCGGGUGUUGUAA
Acanthosepion pharaonis is the source of this 99-nucleotide non-coding RNA. Lineage: Eukaryota; Metazoa; Mollusca; Cephalopoda; Sepiida; Sepiidae. The record is from the annotation of a GenBank genome assembly.